Molecule: ribosomal RNA, 497 nt
Filed under: uncultured bacterium
Lineage: Bacteria
Description: partial 16S ribosomal RNA
Rfam family: Bacterial small subunit ribosomal RNA
Source: RNAcentral
GAUGAACGCUGGCGGCGUGCCUAAUACAUGCAAGUCGAGCGAACAGACGAGGAGCUUGCUCCUCUGACGUUAGCGGCGGACGGGUGAGUAACACGUGGAUAACCUACCUAUAAGACUGGGAUAACUUCGGGAAACCGGAGCUAAUACCGGAUAAUAUAUUGAACCGCAUGGUUCAAUAGUGAAAGACGGUUUUGCUGUCACUUAUAGAUGGAUCCGCGCCGCAUUAGCUAGUUGGUAAGGUAACGGCUUACCAAGGCGACGAUGCGUAGCCGACCUGAGAGGGUGAUCGGCCACGCUGGAACUGAGACACGGUCCAGACUCCUACGGGAGGCAGCAGUAGGGAAUCUUCAGCAAUGGGCGAAAGCCUGACGGAGCAACGCCGCGUGAGUGAUGAAGGUCUUCGGAUCGUAAAACUCUGUUAUUAGGGAAGAACAAAUGUGUAAGUAACUAUGCACGUCUUGACGGUACCUAAUCAGAAAGCCACGGCUAACUACGUG